Apodemus sylvaticus (European woodmouse) is the source of this 130-nucleotide small nucleolar RNA. RefSeq annotates it as small nucleolar RNA SNORA17. The record is from RefSeq and is a predicted model, not a curated record. NCBI's taxonomy places the organism in Eukaryota, Metazoa, Chordata, Mammalia, Rodentia, Muridae. The transcript has a single exon.
ACUGCCCCUAGAAGCUUUGCAGGUGUGGCUGCUGUGUCACAUGUGUAUCAGUAGGUGGCAGAGACGAAAGGCUACAACUGUGCUCAGUGUUCUGCCCUGUGAACAUCUGAAUGAUUACUAACUUAACAUU